Molecule: unclassified non-coding RNA, 249 nt
Filed under: Hevea brasiliensis (rubber tree)
Lineage: Eukaryota; Viridiplantae; Streptophyta; Magnoliopsida; Malpighiales; Euphorbiaceae
Source: RNAcentral
AAUUAAAGUUGAGUGAUUUUAUUGUAAUAAAUAGAAGUUGAAGAACAAAAAUGAAACAACCAUUAAUGUUGAGGGACGGUGAGUGAAAACUACCCAUCAAAAUUAUGUUACUUACAAUUCAAAAGCCAAAUCGCAAAUAAUAAAGUAAUACCUUUCUGAGUCAACUAUAUUUAGUGACACAAUGAUCUAAAUUGUGUAAGCUCUAAGUUAUACUAUUUUCAACCAUAAUUACACAUAAGCAAGUUAGAA